RNAcentral lists this ribosomal RNA (465 nucleotides) under uncultured bacterium. RNAcentral describes it as "partial 16S ribosomal RNA". It matches the Rfam family "Bacterial small subunit ribosomal RNA", at positions 338 to 795 of the family's 1533-position model. The record is from RNAcentral.
CCUACGGGAGGCAGCAGUAGGGAAUCUUGCACAAUGGACGAAAGCCUGAUGGAGCAACGCCGCGUGAGGGAAGAAGGGUUUCGGGGCGGAAAGCCCUGUUGGUAGGGAAGAAAGAUAGAGGUAGUAACUGGCCUUUAGUUGACGGUAAUUACUUAGAAAGGCACGGCUAACUACGUGCCAGCAGGCGCGGGAAUACGUAGGUGGCAAGCGGUGUCCGGAUUUGUUGGGCGUAAAGCGAGUGCAGGCGGUACAAUAAGUCUGAUGUGAAAGCCUUCGGCUCAAACGGAGAAGUGCAUCAGAAACUGUGGAACUUGAGUGCAGAAGAGGAACGUGGAACGCCAUGUGUAGCGGUGAAAUGCGUAGAUAUCUGGCAGAACACCAGUUGCGAAGGCGGCGCUCUGGUCUCCAACUGACGCUGAGGCUCGAAAGCGUGGGUAGCGAACAGGAUUAGAUACCCGUGUAGUC